This 492-nucleotide ribosomal RNA is filed under the name uncultured bacterium. RNAcentral's name for it is "partial 16S ribosomal RNA". It matches the Rfam family "Bacterial small subunit ribosomal RNA", at positions 29 to 507 of the family's 1533-position model. The record is from RNAcentral.
AGUGAACGCUGGCGGUAGGCCUAACACAUGCAAGUCGAACGGCAACACAGUAAGAGCUUGCUCUUACGGGUGGCGAGUGGCGGACGGGUGAGGAAUACAUCGGAAUCUACUUUUUCGUGGGGGAUGACGUAGGGAAACUUACGCUAAUACCGCAUACGACCUACGGGUGAAAGCAGGGGAUCUUCGGACCUUGCGCGAUUGAAUGAGCCGAUGUCGGAUUAGCUGGUUGGCGGGGUAAAGGCCCACCAAGGCGCCGAUCCGUAGCUGGUCUGAGAGGAUGAUCAGCCACACUGGAACUGAGACACGGUCCAGACUCCUACGGGAGGCAGCAGUGGGGAAUAUUAGACAAUGGGCGCAAGCCUGAUCCAGCCAUACCGCGUGGGUGAAGAAGGCCUUCGGGUUGUAAAGCCCUUUUGUUGGGAAAGAAAAGCAGCAGGUUAAUACCCCGCUGUUCUGACGGUACCCAAAGAAUAAGCACCGGCUAACUUCGUG